This 253-nucleotide ribosomal RNA is filed under the name uncultured bacterium. RNAcentral's name for it is "partial 16S ribosomal RNA". It matches the Rfam family "Bacterial small subunit ribosomal RNA", at positions 524 to 776 of the family's 1533-position model. The record is from RNAcentral.
UACGUAGGGGGCAAGCGUUGUCCGGAUUUAUUGGGCGUAAAGAGCGUGUAGGCGGCCUUGCAAGUCCGUUGUGAAAACUCGAGGCUCAACCUCGAGACGCCGGUGGAAACUGCAAAGCUAGAGUCCGGAAGAGGAGAGUGGAAUUCCUGGUGUAGCGGUGAAAUGCGCAGAUAUCAGGAGGAACACCGAUGGCGAAGGCAGCUCGCUGGGACGGUACUGACGCUGAGGCGCGAAAGCGUGGGGAGCGAACAGG